UCGGGAAUUUUGGGCAAUGGGCGAAAGCCUGACCCAGCAACGCCGCGUGAAGGAUGAAGUAUUUCGGUAUGUAAACUUCGAAAGAAUAGGAAGAAUAAAUGACGGUACUAUUUAUAAGGUCCGGCUAACUACGUGCCAGCAGCCGCGGUAAUACGUAGGGACCAAGCGUUGUUCGGAUUUACUGGGCGUAAAGGGCGCGUAGGCGGCAAUUCAAGUCAUCUGUGAAAUCUCCGGGCUUAACUCGGAACGGUCAGAUGAUACUGCUUUGCUAGAGUGCAGAAGGGGCAAUCGGAAUUCUUGGUGUAGCGGUGAAAUGCGUAGAUAUCAAGAGGAACACCUGAGGUGAAGACGGGUUGCUGGGCUGACACUGACGCUGAGGCGCGAAAGCCAGGGGAGCAAACGGGAUUAGAUACCCCCGUAGUCCCUGAGCGGGCUGGCA
This 439-nucleotide ribosomal RNA is filed under the name uncultured bacterium. Its description in RNAcentral is "bacterial SSU rRNA". It matches the Rfam family "Bacterial small subunit ribosomal RNA", at positions 355 to 814 of the family's 1533-position model. The record is from RNAcentral.